This 389-nucleotide ribosomal RNA is filed under the name uncultured Cryptomonadales. RNAcentral describes it as "partial small subunit ribosomal RNA". It matches the Rfam family "Eukaryotic small subunit ribosomal RNA", at positions 30 to 432 of the family's 1831-position model. Lineage: Eukaryota; Cryptophyceae; Cryptomonadales. The record is from RNAcentral.
GCUUGUCUCAAAGAUUAAGCCAUGCAUGUCUAAGUAUAAACGACUUUAUACUGUGAAACUGCGAAUGGCUCAUUAUAUCAGUUAUAGUUUAUUUGAUGGUCCUUGCUACUUGGAUAACCGUAGUAAUUCUAGAGCUAAUACAUGCACAAAGGCCCGACUCACGAAGGGCUGUAUUUAUUAGAUUUAAAGCCGACAUCUUUUGGUGAUUCAUAAUAACUUUUCGAACCUCAUGCCUUUAUGGUGGAGGUGAUUCAUUCAAAUUUCUGCCCUAUCAAUUGGCGAUGGUAGGAUAGAGGCCUACCAUGGUGUUAACGGGUGACGGGGGAUUAGGGUUCGAUUCCGGAGAGGCAGCCUGAGAAACGGCUACCACAUCCAAGGAAGGCAGCAGG